Molecule: ribosomal RNA, 254 nt
Filed under: uncultured bacterium
Lineage: Bacteria
Description: partial 16S ribosomal RNA
Rfam family: Bacterial small subunit ribosomal RNA
Source: RNAcentral
CACGUAGGGGGCAAGCGUUGUCCGGAUUUAUUGGGCGUAAAGAGCUCGUAGGCGGUUCGGUAAGUCAGGUGUGAAACCUCCAGGCUCAACCUGGAGACGCCACUUGAUACUGCUGUGACUGGAGUCCGGUAGGGGAGCGUGGAAUUCCUGGUGUAGCGGUGAAAUGCGUAGAUAUCAGGAGGAACACCUGUGGUGUAGACGGCUUUCUGGACCAUUGCUGACGCUGAGACACGAAAGCGUGGGUAGCAAACAGG